AACGAACGCUGGCGGCAGGCCUAAUACAUGCAAGUCGAGCGCGCCCUUCGGGGUGAGCGGCGGACGGGUGAGUAACGCGUGGGAAUUUGCCUCUUGGUACGGGAUAACGUUUGGAAACGAACGCUAAUACCGUAUGUGAUCUACGGAUUAAAGAUUUAUCGCCAAGAGAGAAGCCCGCGUAGGAUUAGGUAGUUGGUGGGGUAAUGGCCCACCAAGCCAACGAUCUUUAGCUGGUCUGAGAGGACGAUCAGCCACACUGGAACUGAGACACGGUCCAG
Molecule: ribosomal RNA, 278 nt
Filed under: uncultured bacterium
Lineage: Bacteria
Description: partial 16S ribosomal RNA
Rfam family: Bacterial small subunit ribosomal RNA
Source: RNAcentral